AUUGAACGCUGGCGGAAUGCUUUACACAUGCAAGUCGAACGGCAGCACGGGGGCAACCCUGGUGGCGAGUGGCGAACGGGUGAGUAAUACAUCGGAACGUGCCCGGUCGUGGGGGAUAACGUAGCGAAAGUUACGCUAAUACCGCAUACGAUCUGAGGAUGAAAGCGGGGGACCUUCGGGCCUCGCGCGAUCGGAGCGGCCGAUGUCAGAUUAGGUAGUUGGUGGGGUAAAGGCCUACCAAGCCGACGAUCUGUAGCUGGUCUGAGAGGACGACCAGCCACACUGGGACUGAGACACGGCCCAGACUCCUACGGGAGGCAGCAGUGGGGAAUUUUGGACAAUGGGCGCAAGCCUGAUCCAGCCAUUCCGCGUGCAGGACGAAGGCCUUCGGGUUGUAAAUUGCUUUUGUAUGGAACGAAAAGGCUCUGGCUAAUACCUGGGGCUCAUGACGGUACCGUAAGAAUAAGCACCGGCUAACUACGUG
RNAcentral lists this ribosomal RNA (484 nucleotides) under uncultured bacterium. Its description in RNAcentral is "partial 16S ribosomal RNA". It matches the Rfam family "Bacterial small subunit ribosomal RNA", at positions 30 to 507 of the family's 1533-position model. The record is from RNAcentral.